Molecule: RNA transcript, 1861 nt
Organism: Drosophila miranda
Lineage: Eukaryota; Metazoa; Arthropoda; Insecta; Diptera; Drosophilidae
Exons: 8
Source: RefSeq, a predicted model, not a curated record
UUGUUUUGGAUCGUCUGAAGCUUUGCCAUUUGCAUGUUUGAAGUCAGUGGCCCCCAGACUGGCAUGGCAUACUGCCAUAUUGGGGCAAUCAGCUGCUUAUAGAGGAGGACCUUUGGAGGUAGUGGGAGUUUGCUGUUUCUGCCGAUGAUCCAGUCGAGCUUUUUGAUCCGGGCCCUUGUUUUAGUGACAACAGCCGCUACGUGCUUAUUGAAAUUGAGCUUCGUAUCCAUCUGUAUUCCUAGGUAUGGCAUUACGGGUUUUUUGGCCAGGAGUUGCCCGGCUAACCUUGGAGCUGGAGUGUGUAGCUGCACAGCCCAUGAUAAUGCAUCAGCCAGGAGCCGCUCCACAUUUUCGUUGGCUUGUUUUGGACUUGGGGCAGAUACGAGGUAUACUGCGUCAUCAGCGUACGUUGCUAGCAUUUGGGUUGAGUUUGCGUGUCUUGGUGGCUGCGGCAUGUCGGCAGUGUAAAGAUUGUAGAGUACUGGGCCAAGUACGCUUCCUUGCGGCACUCCAGCGGUUAUGUGCUUUAGGCUUGAGGUGAUGUUGUUGCAGCAGACGACUUUGAAGCUUCUGUCUGAGAGAUAGCUGAGAAGACCCUGAUGCCAGACUCUAUCAAAGGCCUCCUGGAUAUCCAUGUACACAGCACUGCAAUGCCGCUGCGCUUCGUAGGAUCUGAGGAUGAAUUGCGUGACUCGUCCGAUUUGCUGUUCCGCUGAGUGCUGACUUCUGAAGCCAAAUUGAUGGUUUGGAAUAGCCAUGGCAAAGCUUUCUUCGUCAAAAAGUCGUUUGAGGAUGAGGCGUUCAAGGAUUUUGGAGAAGCCUGUAAGCAGGCUGAUGGGACUUUGGGAAGUGGCCGAACUGCAGAGCCGAGUUGCAUAUCAACAGCAGAUACUCGAUGGCGGAUGUUGGCAGAGAUUUAAUGACGCGAUUGUCGAUACUGUCGAAACCGGGUGCCUUUUUCGUCUUGAGCUUCUUAAUUUCCGAUUUGAGUUCCUGGAUGGUCACAGGUCUGCCGUGAUCUUUGGCGUGAAACGUGCUUCCAGGUGCUGCGCAAAGGCCUCAGCUUUUUCCUCCGUAGUUUUGCACCAAGGAUCAGCAGGAGCUUGCUGCCCUUCCGCAACGUGCCUUCUGACUGGCAGAUUUGGGAUGGGCUGUCUCUUGAUUGUGUUGGUGGAGUAUGCGGCCGUGGAGAACAUCAUUACGCCUAUUGGUCUCUUCGUCGGCUGCGAAGUGGAAUCCUUGCGAGUGUCGGCGCUAAACUGGGACUGCAGGACAGCAUCAACAGGGCUGAAGCUGGCCGAGGUCCAGUGCAUCGUCAUUCUGGAUUUUCUUUUCAGCCGCCGCCAUCAUCUGGAUUCUGGAGCUGCCGCCGUCCAUCAUCAGGUUCUCUGCUGGGGCCGUCAUUUGCCUGCGUAGCAGCUGCAUUAGCGCUACUGCGGCUGAUUUCCAUAUUGUGUGUUGCAAACGGAUUGCGCAGCCAGUUCUCGCGUCUGACUUGGAGCAAUAUUGUUUGGAUGGCUGUCAGGCUUCUGUUGCUGUUUGGAUUGUGCUCUUCUAUCAUUGCGGCAUACCUUGGCCUGGCCAGCCUUCUUGGAAUGUAUGGUUGCUACUUGGAGAUCCGCAUGCAGUGCGUUGUUGCUCGCAUACCAGGGAGCAUUUGUCAUUGCUCUGAGAGCUUUGUUUUGGAUCGUCUGGAGCUUUGCCAUUUGCAUGUUUGAAGUCAGUGGCCUCAGACUGGCAUGGCAUACUGCCAUAUUGGGGCAAUCAGCUGCUUAUAGAGGAGGACCUUUGGAGGUAGUGGGAGUUUGCUGUUUCUGCCGAUGAUCCAGUCGAGCUUUUUGAUCCGUUUUUUUUCGAGGUA